This 1004-nucleotide long non-coding RNA is filed under the name Oryza brachyantha (malo sina). RNAcentral's name for it is "long non-coding RNA (OBRA_LNC002376)". Lineage: Eukaryota; Viridiplantae; Streptophyta; Magnoliopsida; Poales; Poaceae. The record is from RNAcentral.
UUUUUUUGUAUAAAUAAAAUAUUUCACUCUAUAAUUUAAAUUUUAGAAGAUAUUAUUUGAAAUCAUGUUAAUAAUUACCAUGCAUAUCCAAAAUGAUGUUUUUAAUGGCAUGUAAAAGGUUUUCUUAUCAUGAGAUCUUACCUCUAAUGAGAUAAGAAAACUAUGAACUGUUGGAUGAAGGCCUAAUAAACUGUCCAAAAUAAAUUCGGAGUACACUGUAAAAAGUCCAACUAACAGUGCACUGUAUUAUGGUCAAUCUUUGUAUUAAUAUAAUCAACCAGUUUAUUCAAAAACACAAUACGGUGAUAUGAGCUCAAAUUUAAGACUGUCACUGUCUGAAGGCUGAAGCUAUAUUAAAUUAAUUCAGGUAUAAAUCACUCAGAAUUAAACAUAAGAUUAAUGCACAAAAUAACAUCAAGGCAAAGACAAUGAUAAGUUGGCUACAAAGUUUUUUAAGGGCAGAUUGCAGAGACAAGGCCAGACAAGAUCAGCUUCCCCUUUUCAGGUACCUUCUCAAGCCGUUCAUUAACCGGCACUUUGUCCUUUAAAUAACACUUAGGCCGGCUUUGGCUGUACUGUACACUCCAGAAAGCACAGUAGACAAAAGGAAGGAAACAUCUGCAGAGUUCGUCAUCAACCGAAACAAGCAAACAAUUUGUGCGUAGAUUAGCAUUUAGCCUGAUGCUCUAGGCAUUAGCCAGCAAUUAACAAACGAAAGCUUUGGAUGUCAAUUUGGCAAGAAACGGAUCUCAACUGGGCAGGUUCAAGGUAGCAGAAUCAGAGACUCAACACCAAAGUAGAAACCACCGUCAGAAUUCCAUAUGUGGCACACAGAAAUGAAAGAUUAUUAUUUUUGGUCAGUUUAAUCAUGAUGCUAAUAGUACUUAAGAAAACAGAGAAAUGCAUAGGUUGCCCUUUUGUGCUGAUGGUAGCACAACAAUGUGUCCAGGUUCCUGAAUCCAACUUGAAUGUACAAUGGACCUGAUAACUGAUCUUUUUUUCCC